CCUACGGGAGGCAGCAGUGAGGAAUAUUGGUCAAUGGUCGGGAGGCUGAACCAGCCAAGCCGCGUGAGGGAUGAAGGUACAGAGUAUCGUAAACCUCUUUUGUCAGGGAACAAAGGCGGGGACGUGUCCCCGGAUGAGUGUACCUGAAGAAAAAGCAUCGGCUAACUCCGUGCCAGCAGCCGCGGUAAUACGGAGGAUGCGAGCGUUAUCCGGAUUCAUUGGGCUUAAAGGGAGCGUAGGCGGGCGUUCAAGUCAGCUGUAAAAUCGCGCGGCUCAACCGCGCCCCGCAGUUGAAACUGGACGCCUUGAGUUCACAACAGGCAGGCGGAAUUCGUGGUGUAGCGGUGAAAUGCUUAGAUAUGACGAAGAACCCCGAUUGCGAAGGCAGCUUGCUGCAGCGGAACUGACGCUGAUGCUCGAAAGCGCGGGUAUCGAACAGGAUUAGAUACCCGAGUAGUC
This 459-nucleotide ribosomal RNA is filed under the name uncultured bacterium. RNAcentral's name for it is "partial 16S ribosomal RNA". It matches the Rfam family "Bacterial small subunit ribosomal RNA", at positions 338 to 795 of the family's 1533-position model. The record is from RNAcentral.